AUUGAACGCUGGCGGCAGGCUUAACACAUGCAAGUCGAGCGGAUGAAGGGAGCUUUCUCCUGGAUUCAGCGGCGGACGGGUGAGUAAUGCCUAGGAAUCUGCCUCGUUGGGGGUUAUAACGUCCGGAAACGGGCGCUAAUACUGCAUACGUCCUGAGGGUGAAAGUUGGGGAGCUUCGGACCUCUCGCUCUCAGAUGAGCCUAGGUCGGGUUAGCUAGUUGGUGGGGUAAGGGCCUACCAAGGCGACGAUCCGUAACUGGCCGGAGAGGAAGAUUGGCCACACUGGAACUGAGCCACGGUCCAGACUCCUACGGGAGGCAGCAGUGGGGAAUAUUGGACAAUGGGCGAAAGCCUGAUCCAGCCAUGCCGCGUGUGUGAAGAAGGUCUUCGGAUUGUAAAGCCCUUUAAGUUGGGAGGAAGGGCAGUAAGUUAAUACCUUGCUGUUUUGACGUUACCAACAGAAUAAGCACCGGCUAACUUCGUG
This 484-nucleotide ribosomal RNA is filed under the name uncultured bacterium. RNAcentral describes it as "partial 16S ribosomal RNA". It matches the Rfam family "Bacterial small subunit ribosomal RNA", at positions 30 to 507 of the family's 1533-position model. The record is from RNAcentral.